UCAAUCACGACUUUUAUUGUCGACUGACGCAAAAAUAGUGGAGGAAAAGACCAAUUUCCGCUGAGAUUCACCAAAAAUGACUGCGUUGCAAGAAUUUCAGAAUUUAUCACUCCCCUCUGAAGAAAGAGUGAAGAAUAAGUAUGUGUGUAUUUUGCAUUUGGCAAGCACUUUUAUGAUGAAAAUCAAGUCAUCAAUAAAAUAGUGUUGGUACUGCACCAUUUUACAGAAACAUUUUGCUACCUGAUUUUCUCUUCAUGUUGUCAUCAAAAUGAUCGGAACAAACUCUGCUCCACUACAUGAGUCUUUGGGGUGACCGUGCCUUUAUGUUACCUAUGCAGCAGGUGAAAAUUCAGG
Long non-coding RNA from Xenia sp. Carnegie-2017, 354 nucleotides. RefSeq lists it as uncharacterized. Lineage: Eukaryota; Metazoa; Cnidaria; Anthozoa; Malacalcyonacea; Xeniidae. The transcript has 2 exons. The record is from RefSeq and is a predicted model, not a curated record.